This 440-nucleotide ribosomal RNA is filed under the name uncultured bacterium. Its description in RNAcentral is "bacterial SSU rRNA". It matches the Rfam family "Bacterial small subunit ribosomal RNA", at positions 338 to 795 of the family's 1533-position model. The record is from RNAcentral.
CCUACGGGUUGCACCAGUGGGGAAUAUUGGACAAUGGGCGAAAGCCUGAUCCAGCAAUGCCGCGUGUGUGAAGAAGGUCUUCGGAUUGUAAAGCACUUUCGACGGGGACGAUGAUGACGGUACCCGUAGAAGAAGCCCCGGCUAACUUCGUGCCAGCAGCCGCGGUAAUACGUAGGGGGCGAGCGUUGUCCGGAAUUAUUGGGCGUAAAGGGCGCGUAGGCGGUUUAUGCAGUCAGAUGUGAAAUCCCCGGGCUUAACCUGGGAACUGCAUUUGAGACGCAUAGACUAGAGGUCGAGAGAGGGUUGUGGAAUUCCCAGUGUAGAGGUGAAAUUCGUAGAUAUUGGGAAGAACACCGGUGGCGAAGGCGGCAACCUGGCUCGAUACUGACGCUGAGGCGCGAAAGCGUGGGGAGCAAACAGGAUUAGAUACCCUUGUAGUC